RNAcentral lists this long non-coding RNA (926 nucleotides) under Helianthus annuus (common sunflower). Its description in RNAcentral is "hypothetical non coding rna". Lineage: Eukaryota; Viridiplantae; Streptophyta; Magnoliopsida; Asterales; Asteraceae. The record is from RNAcentral.
UAUAUGUCAUAUAUCUAACAUAAGGGCCUUUAUUGUCAUAAGUUAAAAGUCCUUUAGCUGGCCUAGACCAGUAAAACUUGCGGCUGGACAUCAUCACAGCCGAAGAUGUGGCUUUGGACAUGAUUUUAAGCUCCAUUUCUCCCAACUAACCUUAUUAAAUACACCCUUAACCCAAACCCUAUUUGUUUAAAACAUUUUCAGCCGCCCCCUUUUCUCUCCUCCACUCCGGCAGCCGGAGCGAAUUCCGGCAAGUCUCUGGCGCUGCUCAUCUCUGGCCAGACCCACACCUUUCGACCAUCCUCCUCCUCCCUCUUCCUCACUCACACCCGUAAGCCCCUUCCUCUUCGGCAUCGGCUCAGCCGGAGGCACACACACUCAAAAACACUGACCGUUUUACUCCCUCUCUCUCUCUCUCGCCGGAAUACCCAACUUGUCGGAGUUCGAAGACUCUGCCGGAGCAGACGGAUUUCGCCGGAGAUCGGAAUCCAUUUCGGGUUCACGACAUUUUGAUUUCGAACCGAAAGAUGAGAAGGUAAACUAACGACAGUGUUGUCGUUCCUUUUGAACGAUGGAGGAAGGAACCUGCUGAAUCCUCGGCGUCGAUCGGAGCUUAUCGGAGUUGUCACCGGAGACGUACCGGGAAACUGACGGUGGUUGUUUUACUGUGUUAGGAUAAACGUAUCUCGUUCGUUAUUUUGGGAAUUCUUCAUCUUUACUCGUGUGUCAUUUCAAGAAAUCUCCAUAUGCAAGACUGUUGAGGAUGAUGAUGCUAUGAAAUGAAGUAGCGUUGAUACCUAGAUACACAUAUAGACGUUUAGGUUUAAUCAUUGUAUCAAUUUUGAUUAUGUUGUAGUGUAUUUCCUUUGAACUUGAUGUUAUUUGAUUUCUUUGUAAUGUUGACGAAUGAAUUAUGAAAUGAAAUCGGU